Molecule: ribosomal RNA, 1400 nt
Filed under: Candidatus Pelagibacterales bacterium
Lineage: Bacteria; Pseudomonadati; Pseudomonadota; Alphaproteobacteria; Candidatus Pelagibacterales
Description: bacterial SSU rRNA
Rfam family: Bacterial small subunit ribosomal RNA
Source: RNAcentral
UGAGUUUGAUCCUGGCUCAGAAUGAACGCUAUUAGUAUGCUUUACACAUGCGAGUUUAACGUUAUUUUUUAAUAAUGUAGCGUACGGGUGAGUAAUCACGUAGUAAAUUUGCCUUUCGAUAAUAGUAUAAAAUAUUCAAUUUUUUAUUGUUAAAACAUACAAUAUAUGUUAUAUUAAUUACUUUUAAAAUUUAUUAUUAAUAAAUGUUGAAAGAUAAUACUGCGUAAGAUUAGGUAGUUGGUAAAUUAAUAGCUUACCAAGCCUAUGAUCUUUAGUUGAUCUUAGAGGAUGAUCAACCACACUGGAACUGAGACAAGGUCCAGGCUGAUUAUUUCGGCCAGCAGUGGGGAAUAUUGGACAAUGAACGAAAGUUUGAUCCAGCAAUACUAAGUAAAUGAUGACGGCUAUUUGGUUGUAAAAUUUUUUCAUUAAAUAGGAUAAUGACCUUUUUAAAAAAGAAGUCCCGGCUAAUCUCGUGCCAGCAGCCGCGGUAAUACGGGAGGGGCAAGCGUUAUUCGGAAUUACUGGGCGUAAAGGGUUCGUAGACUGUAUAGUAAGUUAUUAGUUAAAUCUUAAAAAAAUACUUUAAAAAAGCUAAUAAUACUGUUAUACUAGAGUUUUAGUUAGAAGAAUAGAAUUUCAUAUGAAGAGGUAAAAUUCAUAGAUAUGUGAAGGAAUAUCAUAAGUUAAAACGAUUCUUUAUUAAAAACUGACGUUGAGGAACGAAAGCAUAGGUAGCAAACAGGAUUAGAUACCCUGGUAGUCUAUGCCGUAAACUAUGAGUGCUAAAAUUUAAUAGUUACUAUUGGAUUUUAAAGUAAACACGUUAAGCACUCCGCCUGAGAAGUACGAUCGCAAGAUUAAAACUCAAAGGAAUUGACGGGGGCCUACUAUAAGUGGUGGAGCAUGUGGUUUAAUGCGAUAAUCCGCGCAAAACCUUACCAGUUCUUGAAUAAAUAGUUUUAAAAUAAGAUAAAAUAUUUUAUUUUUAUUAUAUAUUUACAGGUGUUGCACGACUGUCGUCAGUUCAUGUCGUGAGAUUUUUGGUUCAUUCCUUUAAAUGGGCGUAACUCUUGUCUAUUAGAUAAACUGCUGUUUAUCAAAAUAACAGUUUUUUAGAUAUUAACAUCGAUAAGGUGUUUGAAAGCGAGAAUUAAGUCAAGUCACUGUGGCCUUUAUGAACUGGGCUACACACGUGCUACAAUGGGAAACACAAAAAGUUACAAUAAUAUAUCAUUUGAGUUAUUCUUUAAAAUUUCUCUUAGUUCGGAUUGUAGACUGAAACUCGUUUACAUGAAGUUGGAAUCACUAGUAAUCGCAAAUCAGAACGUUGCGGUGAAUAUAUGUCUUGGUCUUGUACACACCGCCCGUCACAUGCGGGGAAUUGGUUUUAUUUGAAG